UGUCGUGAGAUGUUGGGUUAAGUCCCGCAACGAGCGCAACCCUCGCCUUUAGUUACCAUCAUUCAGUUGGGUACUCUAAAGGAACCGCCGGUGAUAAGCCGGAGGAAGGUGGGGAUGACGUCAAGUCCUCAUGGCCCUUACGCGCUGGGCUACACACGUGCUACAAUGGCGACUACAGUGGGCUGCAAUCCCGCGAGGGUGAGCUAAUCUCCAAAAGUCGUCUCAGUUCGGAUUGUUCUCUGCAACUCGAGAGCAUGAAGGCGGAAUCGCUAGUAAUCGCGGAUCAGCAUGCCGCGGUGAAUACGUUCCCAGGCCUUGUACACACCGCCCGUCACACCAUGGGAGUUGGGUUCACCCGAAGGCGUUGCGCUAACUCGCAAGAG
This 383-nucleotide ribosomal RNA is filed under the name Halomonas sp. ND22Bw. RNAcentral describes it as "bacterial SSU rRNA". It matches the Rfam family "Bacterial small subunit ribosomal RNA", at positions 1063 to 1448 of the family's 1533-position model. Lineage: Bacteria; Pseudomonadati; Pseudomonadota; Gammaproteobacteria; Oceanospirillales; Halomonadaceae. The record is from RNAcentral.